This 253-nucleotide ribosomal RNA is filed under the name uncultured bacterium. Its description in RNAcentral is "partial 16S ribosomal RNA". It matches the Rfam family "Bacterial small subunit ribosomal RNA", at positions 524 to 776 of the family's 1533-position model. The record is from RNAcentral.
UGCAGGGGGGGCAAGCGUUGUUCGGAAUUACUGGGCGUAAAGGGCUCGUAGGCGGCCAACUAAGUCCGACGUGAAAUCCCAAAGCUUAACUUUGGAACUGCGUCGGAUACUGGAUGGCUUGAAUUCGGGAGAGGGAUGCAGAAUUCCAGGUGUAGCGGUGAAAUGCGUAGAUAUCUGGAGGAAUACCGGUGGCGAAGGCGGCAUCCUGGACCGACAUUGACGCUGAUGAGCGAAAGCUAGGGGAGCAAACGGG